AGCAGCCGCGGUAAUUCCAGCUCCAAUAGCGUAUAUUAAAGUUGUUGCAGUUAAAAAGCUCGUAGUUGAAUUUCAGGCCUGGCUGGACGGUCCGCCCUUCGGGUGAGUACUGUCUGUGGUCGGGUCCUACCUUCUGGCGAAGCGUCAUGGCCUUAACCGGCCGUGGCGGGGAACCAGGACUUUUACUGUGAAAAAUUAGAGUGUUCAAAGCAGGCAAUCGCUUGGAUACAUUAGCAUGGAAUAAUGGAAUAGGACAAUGGUUCUAUUUGUUGGUUUCUAGGACCGUUGUAAUGAUUAAUAGGGAUAGUUGGGGGCAUUAGUAUUCAAUUGUCAGAGGUGAAAUUCUUGGAUUUAUUGAAGACUAACUACUGCGAAAGCAUUUGCCAAGGAUGUUUUCAUUAAUCAAGAACGAAAGUUAGGGGAUCGAAGACGAUCAGAUACCGUCGUAGUCUUAACCAUAAACUAU
RNAcentral lists this ribosomal RNA (466 nucleotides) under uncultured Paraglomus. RNAcentral describes it as "SSU rRNA". It matches the Rfam family "Eukaryotic small subunit ribosomal RNA", at positions 569 to 1040 of the family's 1831-position model. The record is from RNAcentral. Lineage: Eukaryota; Fungi; Glomeromycota; Glomeromycetes; Paraglomerales; Paraglomeraceae.